This 466-nucleotide ribosomal RNA is filed under the name uncultured bacterium. RNAcentral's name for it is "bacterial SSU rRNA". It matches the Rfam family "Bacterial small subunit ribosomal RNA", at positions 355 to 825 of the family's 1533-position model. The record is from RNAcentral.
UCGAGAAUCUUCGGCAAUGGGCGAAAGCCUGACCGAGCGAUGCCGCGUGCGGGAUGAAGGCCUUCGGGUUUUAAACCGCUGUCGUAGGGGAGAAAGGGUCGUUGAAGAAACGACUUUGAUCUAUCCUAGGAGGAAGUCCGGGCUAAGUUCGUGCCAGCAGCCGCGGUAACACGAACCGGACAAACGUUAUUCGGAAUUACUGGGCUUAAAGGGUGCGUAGGCGGUGCGGUAAGUGCGGUGUGAAAUCCCACGGCUCAACCGUGGAAUUGCGCUGCAUACUGCCGUGCUAGAGGGAGACAGGGGUAAGCGGAACUGAUGGUGUAGCGGUGAAAUGCGUAGAUAUCAAGAGGAACACCUGAGGUGAAGACGGGUUGCUGGGCUGACACUGACGCUGAGGCACGAAAGCGUGGGGAGCAAAACAGGAUUAGAUACCCCCGUAGUCCCUGAGCGGGCUGGCAAGGCGCAU